Molecule: ribosomal RNA, 242 nt
Filed under: uncultured bacterium
Lineage: Bacteria
Description: partial 16S ribosomal RNA
Rfam family: Bacterial small subunit ribosomal RNA
Source: RNAcentral
UAACCUACGGGGGGCAGCAGUGGGGAAUAUUGCACAAUGGGGGAAACCCUGAUGCAGCGACGCCGCGUGAGUGAAGAAGUAAUUCGUUAUGUAAAGCUCUAUCAGCAGGGAAGAUAAUGACGGUACCUGACUAAGAAGCCCCGGCUAACUACGUGCCAGCAGCCGCGGUAAUACGUAGGGGGCAAGCGUUAUCCGGAUUUACUGGGUGUAAAGGGAGCGUAGGUGGAAGGGAAAGUCAGAGG